This 470-nucleotide ribosomal RNA is filed under the name uncultured bacterium. RNAcentral describes it as "partial 16S ribosomal RNA". It matches the Rfam family "Bacterial small subunit ribosomal RNA", at positions 28 to 507 of the family's 1533-position model. The record is from RNAcentral.
GACGAACGCUGGCGGCGUGCUUAACACAUGCAAGUCGAACGGUGAACGAGGGAGCUUGCUCCCUCCGGAUCAGUGGCGAACGGGUGAGUAACACGUGAGCAAUCUGCCCCGAACUCUGGGAUAAGCGUUGGAAACGACGUCUAAUACCGGAUACGACGCGGGAGGGCAUCCUCUCCGCGUGGAAAGAACUUCGGUUCGGGAUGAGCUCGCGGCCUAUCAGCUUGUUGGUGAGGUAACGGCUCACCAAGGCGACGACGGGUAGCCGGCCUGAGAGGGUGACGGGCAAAAGGGGGACGGAAACACGGCCCAGACCCCGAGGGGAGGAAGAGGGGGGAAAGAUGGAAAAAGGGGCGCAGGCUGGAGGCAGAACGGCGGGGGGAGGGACGAGGGCCUGGGGGUUGUAAACCUUUUUAAGCGGGAAAGAAGAAAAAGGGACGUUACCGGAAAAAAAAGAACCGGAAAACUAGGUG